RNAcentral lists this ribosomal RNA (481 nucleotides) under uncultured bacterium. RNAcentral describes it as "bacterial SSU rRNA". It matches the Rfam family "Bacterial small subunit ribosomal RNA", at positions 32 to 507 of the family's 1533-position model. The record is from RNAcentral.
GGACGACGCUGGCGGCGUGCCUAACACACUGCAAGUCAGCUUGACUGAAGGAGCAAUCUGACAGUAGAGUGGCGCAAGGGUGCGUAACGCGUAAGUAACUUGCCCCAAGGUAAGGAAUAACGUCGAGAAAUCGGCGCUAAUACCUCAUAAUGCAGCGGAUCCGCAUGGAUAUGUUGUUAAAGGUUUACCGCCUUGGGAUAGGCUUGCGUCUGAUUAGCUAGUUGGUGUGGUAACGGCACACCAAGGCUACGAUCAGUAACUGGUCUGAGAGGAUGAUCAGUCACACUGGAACUGAGACACGGUCCAGACUCCUACGGGAGGCAGCAGUGAGGAAUAUUGGGCAAUGCUCGAAAGAGUGACCCAGCAACGCCGCGUGGAGGAUGAAGGUAUUCUAUAUCGUAAACUCCUGUGAGAGCAGACGAAAGACAGAUUAUUAAUCUGGAUGACUGUAUGCUCAGAGGAAGCCCCGGCUAACUACGUG